ACGUGAUUUGAACCCCGCGCCACGGCCGGCGCGAUGCCCGUCCUCGCACCCUCCCUGGUCCAAGAUGGAAAUACCAGGCCUCGGGGGCUCUGCGGCUCCGAACCCGGAGGGGCACGCGCCGAAACUGGCCGGGACCUUCAGAACCUGAACACCAAACCUCUGUUGCCUCGGCGGACUCGUCCGCCGGUGGACACCAAAAAAACAACUGUAGUAUGAAAGCAGUCUGAGCCUUCGAGCAACGAAUUA
Molecule: unclassified non-coding RNA, 246 nt
Filed under: uncultured fungus
Lineage: Eukaryota; Fungi
Description: sequence contains ITS1
Source: RNAcentral